This 1366-nucleotide long non-coding RNA is filed under the name Numida meleagris (helmeted guineafowl). RNAcentral describes it as "lncRNA (ENSNMEG00000009254.1)". The record is from RNAcentral. Lineage: Eukaryota; Metazoa; Chordata; Aves; Galliformes; Numididae.
GGGAGUAUUCAGGAUUUUGGAUUAAUUAUAUAGCGCUCUUAUUAAACUUCUAAUGAAGUGAUUCAGGAGACAUUGAUGUAGAAACUGUUGGUCUUUAAAGCUCUCACUCUAUUUCAGAACACAGUCACAUCUUUAUUAACACAGUUCUCUGUUUGCUGACAGGCAAAAUGAGAUGAACUGAGCACCUGUGCAAACCAGGGCAGUGAUUGCAACAGCACGCAGUUAUACGAUGUGUACCUGGCACAGUACUGAAGAGAUGUCAGGCUUAAAAUACCAACACUGAGGUCCUAAUUAAAACAUGCCUGUUGUUUGGCAACCAGUAGCUUUUGAAAUCAAGGAUUUGCGGAAUCAGGCUUUUCUCUCAGAUCUCAUCUCUUCUGCAUUCCAAGUGAACUGAUUUCUUUUGGAUGGGAUUUGGACAAUGAUUGAAAGUGUGAAAGAAGAGUAAUAUGACCUUGGGUUUACUUCUGAGGAAUGCAUUGAAUAGAUAAUCCAUGCUUUAACCCUACUGAUGCUAGCCAAAAAUUUGAUGUGCAAGUCUACACAGAACAGCCUGGAAAAGAAUAGCACAGGCAACACAGGUCCAUCUGGAAGGCCAUAAUGCCUCUGAUGGCCGUGAUGCCAUCAUCCUCGCUGCUGAUGCUGGUGGUACCAUCAGUGUGGAUUUCAGAGAAAGCAAGCUGAGGUUUAUGAAAAUUCUUGAGACUUUGGAGUUUCCUCGCCCCCGCCAGAAUCUGUUGGGUUUGCGGAUAUAAGCAGGGAGAAAAGACUGAUGGAGAGAAUGGAUGCAGUAUUAUGUGACUGACUCAAGUCUGUAGCAUUAACUGCUACUCAGAUUGGGAGCAGGAAUAUGUCUCCUGGAUUCUUGAUGUCUGUUUAAGCCUCUGUGCUAGGAUGCCUCGCUAUUAUGCUUUUAAAGGACAGAUGGUAAUGAGGUCCAAAACAAACUAUUGUUGCUCAAUAUUCUCAAAGAAAAGAUGAAGAAAAUAGAGUACUUCAGUAAUAUCAGCUUUUAGUCAAGAAACAUGCACCUACACCCAUGUAUUAUGCUAGGUAUGUAAUGAAAAAAAAAAAAAGAAACUUCAUUAUAUAAUUGAACUCUUACCAACUAUGUCAUAAUAUUUUGAGUGAUUUUUUUUAUUGUUUUCAUUUCUUAAAGACUAGCUUUCAUUGUUACUUAAGCCAAAUGAUGAUGUAGGCAAUGGAUGUGUGGUCUAGUGUGACAAUUUUCAGUUCUAUGUUUAAUUUACUCUGUUGUAAUAGCACUCAGCUCUUCUCUUACCUAUUUAUUUAACAGAAAUUCAGGAACAUGGAGAAGCAGAGUUCAUUAGCAGACGGGCCCCUCAGUGCUGCUGGGUCUCAGGUU